UACCAGCACCCCGAGUGGUCGGGACGAUUAUUGGGCCUAAAGCAUCCGUAGCCGGCCUUACAAGUCCUCCGUUAAAUCCAGCUGCUUAACAGAUGGGCUGCGGAGGAUACUAUAGGACUAGGAGGCAGGAGAGGCAAGCGGUACUCAGUGGGUAGGGGUAAAAUCCGUUGAUCCAUUGAAGACCACCAGUGGCGAAGGCGGCUUGCCAGAAUGCGCUCGACGGUGAGGGAUGAAAGCUGGGGGAGCAAACCGG
This 253-nucleotide ribosomal RNA is filed under the name uncultured bacterium. Its description in RNAcentral is "partial 16S ribosomal RNA". It matches the Rfam family "Archaeal small subunit ribosomal RNA", at positions 474 to 727 of the family's 1478-position model. The record is from RNAcentral.